CUCUCAAAAAUAAAUAAAUAAAUUUAAAAAAGAAGGGUGCAUUUAUAGAUUUCUAUGUAACUUAAAAGUACUUAAAAAAAUAACAGGGCUCUUCAACAUGCUGGGGAAAAUAUUGACUAGAUUUGCUGCUGCAAAGGGGUGGCUUCCUGUUUCUCGUGUUCUAUAUUUGAUUGUCUUUACAUUGUUCAGAACGAGAAUAUAUUUACACACUCAUGGUGCAAUAACACGAGGAAAAAUGAAGCAGUUCUUCUCAUUUAGUCUUCUCUAGCUCCUUAGCCAGGAGCGCUCGGGGGGGAACUGAGGCCCAGAAACCCAUGUGACUGCAAGCCAGCCUGCAGUGAGUCAGUGAGUGAGGGAAGAAAAGGCCAUCCCAGAGCCCGCUGAGUCACGUGAUGCCGAACACAGCAAACUGGCUUGUUUUGCAACCCAGGCAGGCCCUUUAACCACAAGCCUGCUGGCCGGCCCCAUGCAGGGGCGGGGGGGGGGGGGCGGUGUGGGGGAGAGUGGAGACGAUGCCAGUAGUCUCCCCUCCAUGAGUCAUGCUCCUUCCCGCAAUAGUUAGGGGAGGAUGUGGAGAUGAUGGGCUGGGGAGUAGAGGCUACUGCCUUUAGACCCUGCCGGGCUGGGUGCCCCAGAGGGUGACGGGCCCGGGGCCCUUGGGGAAGUCCCAAAGGGGCUCCUGCUCCCUUGUGUAGAUUACUAGAAGCACGGACGUUUGCAUCAGACCACCGCUGUGAGUGCCUGCGUGGUGACCAAAAGGACGAGGGCUUUCGGGGGCUUUCACUGACCACUGAGAGCCUGUGGAUGUGCAGGCCACUGUGCUCACGGGCCAGGAGAAUUCCUAAGGCAGGGUUUGCUGGCUCUUUUCUACAGAGGAGGAAACUGAGCCUCCGUGGAGACCUCGGAGCUCCUGGCUCUUGGGCUUUCCAGCUCCCAGUGGGGCUUCUCAGACCUUCAGCCUUCGGCUGAAUCUCACCACCCUCUUUCCGGCUACUCCAGCUUGUAGAUGGCAGCUUGCGGGAUUUCUCAGCCUUGGCAAUCACGUCAGCCAGCUCCUAGAAUAAAUUUCCUCUUACAUGCA
Leopardus geoffroyi (Geoffroy's cat) is the source of this 1081-nucleotide long non-coding RNA. RefSeq lists it as uncharacterized. NCBI's taxonomy places the organism in Eukaryota, Metazoa, Chordata, Mammalia, Carnivora, Felidae. The record is from RefSeq and is a predicted model, not a curated record. The transcript is spliced from 2 exons.